AUUGAACGCUGGCGGCAGGCCUAACACAUGCAAGUCGAGCGGCAGCGGAAAGCAGCUUGCUACUUUGCCGGCGAGCGGCGGACGGGUGAGUAAUGUCUGGGAAACUGCCUGAUGGAGGGGGAUAACUACUGGAAACGGUAGCUAAUACCGCAUGACCUCGAAAGAGCAAAGUGGGGGAUCUUCGGACCUCACGCCAUCGGAUGUGCCCAGAUGGGAUUAGCUAGUAGGUGAGGUAAUGGCUCACCUAGGCGACGAUCCCUAGCUGGUCUGAGAGGAUGACCAGCCACACUGGAACUGAGACACGGUCCAGACUCCUACGGGAGGCAGCAGUGGGGAAUAUUGCACAAUGGGCGCAAGCCUGAUGCAGCCAUGCCGCGUGUGUGAAGAAGGCCUUAGGGUUGUAAAGCACUUUCAGCGAGGAGGAAGGCAUCAUACUUAAUACGUGUGGUGAUUGACGUUACUCGCAGAAGAAGCACCGGCUAACUCCGUGCCAGCAGCCGCGGUAAUACGGAGGGUGCAAGCGUUAAUCGGAAUUACUGGGCGUAAAGCGCACGCAGGCGGUUUGUUAAGUCAGAUGUGAAAUCCCCGCGCUUAACGUGGGAACUGCAUUUGAAACUGGCAAGCUAGAGUCUUGUAGAGGGGGGUAGAAUUCCAGGUGUAGCGGUGAAAUGCGUAGAGAUCUGGAGGAAUACCGGUGGCGAAGGCGGCCCCCUGGACAAAGACUGACGCUCAGGUGCGAAAGCGUGGGGAGCAAACAGG
RNAcentral lists this ribosomal RNA (759 nucleotides) under uncultured Enterobacteriaceae bacterium. RNAcentral describes it as "bacterial SSU rRNA". It matches the Rfam family "Bacterial small subunit ribosomal RNA", at positions 28 to 776 of the family's 1533-position model. The record is from RNAcentral. Lineage: Bacteria; Pseudomonadati; Pseudomonadota; Gammaproteobacteria; Enterobacterales; Enterobacteriaceae.